GGACUACCGGGGUAUCUAAUCCCGUUCGCUCCCCGCGCUUUCGCGUCUCAGCGUCAGGGACGGACCAGGGAGCCGCCUUCGCCACGGGUGUUCCUCCUGAUCUCUACGCAUUUCACCGCUACACCAGGAAUUCCACUCCCCUCUUCCGUCCUCAAGCCGGGCAGUCUCGGGCGGCGUCCCGGGGUUGAGCCCCGGGCUUUCACACCCGACUUACCCAGCCGCCUACACGCGCUUUACGCCCAGUAAAUCCGGACAACGCUCGCCCCCUACGUAUUACCGCGGCGGCUGGCAC
Molecule: ribosomal RNA, 292 nt
Filed under: uncultured bacterium
Lineage: Bacteria
Description: partial 16S ribosomal RNA
Source: RNAcentral